This 396-nucleotide ribosomal RNA is filed under the name uncultured bacterium. RNAcentral's name for it is "partial 16S ribosomal RNA". It matches the Rfam family "Bacterial small subunit ribosomal RNA", at positions 523 to 918 of the family's 1533-position model. The record is from RNAcentral.
AUACGUAGGGAGCGAGCGUUGUCCGGAAUUACUGGGUGUAAAGGGAGCGUAGGCGGGAGUGCAAGUCAGAUGUGAAAUACAUGGGCUCAACCCAUGGGCUGCAUAUGAAACUGCAUUUCUUGAGUGAAGUAGAGGUAAGCGGAAUUCCUGGUGUAGCGGUGAAAUGCGUAGAUAUCAGGAGGAACACCGGUGGCGAAGGCGGCUUACUGGGCUUUUACUGACGCUGAGGCUCGAAAGCGUGGGGAGCAAACAGGAUUAGAUACCCUGGUAGUCCACGCUGUAAACGAUGAUUACUAGGUGUGGGGGGACUGACCCCUUCCGUGCCGCAGUUAACACAAUAAGUAAUCCACCUGGGGAGUACGGCCGCAAGGUUGAAACUCAAAUGAAUUGACGGGG